AUGGGGUGCAGCAGGGGCGAAAACUUUACAAUGCGGGAAACCGUGAUAAGGGGACCUCGAGUGCCAGCAUAUUAUGUUGGCUGUCCAGAUGCCUAAAUAGCAUUUGAUAGCAAGGGCCGGGCAAGACCGGUGCCAGCCGCCGCGGUAACACCGGCGGCCCGAGUGGUAACCGUUAUUAUUGGGUCUAAAGGGUCCGUAGCCGGCCAAGUAAGUCCCUUGGGAAAUCUGGCAGCUUAACUGUCAGGCUGCCAGGGGAUACUGCUUGGCUUGGGACCGGGAGAGGUGAGAGGUACCUCAGGGGUAGGGGUGAAAUCUUGUAAUCCUUGAGGGACCACCAGUGGCGAAGGCGUCUCACCAGAACGGGUCCGACGGCAAGGGACGAAAGCUAGGGGCACGAACCGGAUUAGAUACCCGGGUAGUCCCAGCCGUAAAUGAUGUUCGCUAGGUGUCAGGGACGGUGCGACCGUUUCUGGUGCCGUAGGGAAGCCGUGAAGCGAACCACCUGGGAAGUACGGCCGCAAGGCUGAAACUUAAAGGAAUUGGCGGGGGAGCAC
RNAcentral lists this ribosomal RNA (554 nucleotides) under uncultured euryarchaeote. RNAcentral describes it as "bacterial SSU rRNA". It matches the Rfam family "Archaeal small subunit ribosomal RNA", at positions 325 to 879 of the family's 1478-position model. The record is from RNAcentral. Lineage: Archaea; Methanobacteriati; Methanobacteriota.